UAUAGGUAACAUAAAAUAGUUAAAUAUAAUGUUUGGAGAGCAAUGCAUAUGCAAUAGAAACACAUAGAGCUCUUAAUGAAGUCGGACGAAUUAUGUAUAUUCACUGGUGCACGUUUUGCUUUUGCAGAUUAUAUUCAUUUAGCGUUACAAAACUUUUAUAUAAUUGCUCUUUUCCAUUCUGGUUUUUUAUCAAUGCGGAGAAAAGAGACCGUCUGACCUAUACCGAACGUAUACAUGGAAAAUCGACAAAUUCUCACAGAUUAAUAAGAGAGAACUUCGUAGCAAUGAUUUUGCGGUUGGUGGCUACAUAUGGUACAUCUUGAUCUACCCACAGGGAUGUGAUGUCUGCAACUUUUUGUCGUUAUUUCUUUGUGUUGCAGAGCACGACAUGCUUCUUCCCGAAAGAGCAUUACUGGGGCUGGAAAAAGUUUAUGGAAUUAUCCAAAGUGAUCAGGAAAUGUUGAUGUUACUAUCAGUUUUGAAAACAAAAUUUAGUUUCGAAAGAGGUUUUGGGGUUUUAUAAGAGUGUUCGUAUGAUGGAUUCCACACAUCAUAUCGAGGUUUUUUUAUUCGAACCCGAUUAUUAGAGGUUAGGUGACCUUACAUAGUGGCUUGGAUAAUCAAGUUGUUGAGCACUCCCGCGUUUUCACGAGAUGAGUCGGAUGACGAGUCUGGAGACAUUCUUACAAAAAAAAUAGAGAGAAUUGAAAGUGUUGAAGGUUUAGAAUGUUUUGUGACUUGUGAUUGGGUUGAAUGAGAUUUGGCUGAAUUAUUUAUGUUUAAAUAUAUAAAGAUUUUUUUUUUUUAAAUUAUGACCGUUGGCAACGGUCAUCACCAUCAAACUCACCACUUUUCAAGUUUUGGCGCUCCCCAAGCAGAUCGUGAAGCGGGCUAUAGCGUCCUCCUUUAGCGGAAACAGGCCGGUGUUGAGACGCCAUCGUGGCAUGGCGCGCUACCCCAAACAGAUAUGAAAACACACAAACAAAUCAUGAAAUGUGAAAACAUAUAAUUAAACUAGAUGCUAGUAGAACUUGGAAAAUUUUCUUAUUACGGUCAGUGUACUA
This is a long non-coding RNA of Helianthus annuus (common sunflower), 1064 nucleotides long. RefSeq lists it as uncharacterized. The record is from RefSeq and is a predicted model, not a curated record. NCBI's taxonomy places the organism in Eukaryota, Viridiplantae, Streptophyta, Magnoliopsida, Asterales, Asteraceae. The transcript has 5 exons.